This 715-nucleotide long non-coding RNA is filed under the name Callithrix jacchus (white-tufted-ear marmoset). Its description in RNAcentral is "lncRNA (ENSCJAG00000056967.2)". Lineage: Eukaryota; Metazoa; Chordata; Mammalia; Primates; Cebidae. The record is from RNAcentral.
AUUCUUUUGAAACAUGUUCUCAUUUUCUUAUCCAUGCCAGACUGCAGUGGCACCAUCAUAGCUCACCGUAACAUGGAACUACUGGGCUCAAGUGAUCCUCCUACUUCAGCUUCUUGAGCAACUGGGACUACAGAUUGCCGGUUUAAUAGGGCAUCCAGACCAGUGCACCUUGUGCAGAGUGCCGCUGCGCUGCGCCGGCUGCAACGGCAGUGCCGGCCAGCCGGCCAAAACAACCGCGGCGGUGCUCCGUGUCUCUCCUCCACCUGGGAAUCCCCUCGUUCUGUGGGCAACAAAGAUUCGUCUGAAAAUGCGGCUUGAACUCACCCUCUGAGCCUUCACUGAGAUCCGCAACCGCGAGCCACUGCAACCCCGAGCUGUUCCUUCCCUUCCAUCUUGAAGACCGAGAUCGGGUGUAGUCUUCUAUAAGUGUUAAGUAGGUCAGAAUUUCUAAAUUUUAUUUUUAAUCUUCAGUAUCCUUUCUUAAUUUUUUCUCUGAUUUUGUUAGUGCCUUAUCAGUGACUGAGAAGAGUGUGCCAAGAUUCCCUUAAUGACAGAAUAUUUGUAUUUUACUCUUUUUAUCGUUGUCAAUAUUUGUGAUACAUGUUUUUAGUCUAUGUUAUUAAAGGAAAAACGUAGUUCUAUAUAAUUCAAGAAGUUGAUGCUUUUAAAAUAACAAAGCAUCCCUCUUUCUAUCAACUUUCUCCUUAAACAUCAU